This 351-nucleotide long non-coding RNA is filed under the name Linum usitatissimum (flax). Its description in RNAcentral is "long non-coding RNA (LUSI_LNC001220)". Lineage: Eukaryota; Viridiplantae; Streptophyta; Magnoliopsida; Malpighiales; Linaceae. The record is from RNAcentral.
UAUGCACAGCUUCACCGUGUUCUUCAGAAGCAACAUGGACAGUUUGAGGGCUAUGCUGAGCUUGGAAUGUACCUCCAGAAGCACAAUAUUCACCUUGGGGAUUAAGCUGAAAAGCAAGAGGUGCAGCACUAAAAACAUCUUCAAGACCCCCAUGUAGAGCUUGAGCAACUCCUUCACUAGCAUUGGUGUUAUCAAGUCCAACAGGUCCCACCACAUAAGCAUUUUCUUUCUCUGCUGGACAUGAUACUUGUGAUACAACACAACUACCGUCAGGCACAACUGGACUUGUGACAGCUGAAUUAGUUCUCUCAAUUGAUAAUACCGUAGAUGGAGUAGACGCACCAGCCCAUA